UACAGAGGGUGCUAGCGUUGUUCGGAAUCAUUGGGCGUAAAGGGCGUCUAGGCGGUCAGAUAAGUGGGAUGUGAAAUGCCCCGGCUCACCCGGGGACCGGCAUCCCAAACUGUCUGGCUUGAGUAUGGGAGAGGAUGUGGGAAUUCCUGGUGUAGCGGUGAAAUGCGUAGAUAUCAGGAGGAACACCGGUGGCGAAGGCGCACAUCUGGCCCAAUACUGACGCUAAAGCGCGAAAGCUAGGGGAGCAAACGGG
This 253-nucleotide ribosomal RNA is filed under the name uncultured bacterium. RNAcentral's name for it is "partial 16S ribosomal RNA". It matches the Rfam family "Bacterial small subunit ribosomal RNA", at positions 524 to 776 of the family's 1533-position model. The record is from RNAcentral.